Long non-coding RNA from Eriocheir sinensis (Chinese mitten crab), 2626 nucleotides. RefSeq lists it as uncharacterized. NCBI's taxonomy places the organism in Eukaryota, Metazoa, Arthropoda, Malacostraca, Decapoda, Varunidae. The transcript is spliced from 2 exons. The record is from RefSeq and is a predicted model, not a curated record.
GUGUCGAAAUAUACCCUCCCCCGUGUGUGUGUGUGUGUGUGUGUGUGUGUGUGUGUGUGUGUGUGAGAUAUCAAGAAGUAGGGGUCCUUGUAUUUAAAUGGAGUAUAAGAUUGGAGAAAGAGGUUGGUAAGGAGAGAGAAUAAUGAAAGGAAGGAAAGAAAAUGGUGAGGGACGGAGAAGGGGAGGAGAAGGAAGAUGGGGAGAAGGAGAGAAAAGUGAGGGGAAAACGAUGGUGAAAGCGAGAGAAUGGUAAGUAAGGUAGGGAGGGUGACUGGGGAGCAGGGGAAGAUGGGUAGAAACGAGGAGAGUGAGGGAGAGUGGAAGGUUUUAAUAAGAGAUAGGUAAAGAGGAGAGGGCAGGCGAUGAAAAGGGAGAGUUGUGAAGGGAGGAAAGGAAAGGAAAGGAAAAUAGAGGCUGGGUAGGAAAGGGGAAGGAAGGAAGAAAGGGAACGGAACGGAACAGAAAGGAAAGGAAAGGAAGAGAAGGGAAAAGAAAAGAAAAGGAAAGAAAAUUGAAGGAGAAUGGGAAGAUAGGAAAUAUAGUAACGGAUAAAAAAAAAUCAUAUUUUCUCAUAUAUUAACACCUGAAUUAUACACGAUCGCUACCUGAAUUUUUUAUCCCGCCAGGUAAGAAAUAUUCUCACCUGUCCAACCCAAUAACAAUUAAAAAGUCGGUUGUGUUCGCUAGAAAAUGAAUGGGGAUUAAACCAGUUUCUUGUAUAUUUAAAGCAGUUCCCUGAUGACUUGUUAAUGAAUGGAGGAACAGGUAGGAGAAGAGAUUAAGGAAAGUGUAGAUAAGGUACCCGUAUUAAUGAGUAAGGAACAGGUAGGGACAUAGUGUAAGAUAAGAUCAGGUAAGGUAAGGUAAGGUAAGUGGGCCGAGGAACAAGUAGGAGCAGAGGUUGAGGUAAGGUUAGACUAUGUAAGGUAAGGCUAACGAGUGAGGAAUAAGGAAAAGAGAAGGUUGGGUAAGUAAGGAAAGGUCAGUAAGAGGAGGAAAAGAUAGAUGUUAAGGUAAGAUUUUGUAAAGUAAGGUAAGCUUAAUGAAUGGAGGUAUAGGUAAUAAAGGUUAAGGUAAGGUUAAUCAGGUAAAAUAAGGUUAAUUAGAUGAGGAACAGAUUAGAACAGAGGUCAGUGUAAGAUUAGGAUAGGUAAGGAAAGGCUAAUAAGCGAAUGAACGGGUGGGAACAGAUGUUAAGAUAAGGGAAGGUAAGAAUAGGUAAGGUAAGGUAAGGUAAGGUUAAUGAGCUGAAUAGUAGGUAGGUAGAAGAGGUUAAGGUGACAUUAGGUAAAGCAAGGUAAGGUUAGGUUAGGUAAGGCAAGGUGAAGUUAGUUAAGAAGAAGAAGGAGGAAGUAGGGAAGGAAAAAGAAGAGGAGGUAGAGGAGGAGGAAGCGAAUGAGGUUAGGAAGGAGGAAGAGGAGGAGAUAAGGAACGACGAAGAGAAGAAAGAAGAGCAGGUAGGGAAGGAGGAAGAGAAGGAACUAACUAACGGGGCAAAGGUUCAGGUGUGACACAGGUAAACUUCACGUUGAUUCUUGCUUAUUAAUCAUUCCCCAGGUGAGGUUAGGCUCGGGUGAGGUGGGAUUCGGUCGGUUAAAGUUUGGUGAGACAGUUUUGCUUCAUUUCUGGUUGUGGUGAUGAAGAGAAAAGUUUUGUAGUGAUGGUGGUGAUGAGGAUGAAGAGAAAUGGUGGUGGUGAUAGUGGUGAUGUUGGUUAGUGGUUUUGGUGAGAAAGAAAGAAAAAUAUAAUAAAAAAAAAUGAAUAAGUAAGUAGACUGAUAGAUUUGAUUGUCAGAGAUACAUGUUGGUAGAUAGAUAGAUAGAUACAUAGAUAGAUUGAUGAGGAGAAAUGGUGGUGGUGAUAGUGGUGAUGUUGGUAAGUGGUUUUGGUGAGAAAGAAAGAAAAAGAUGAGAAAAAAAGAUGAAUGAGUAAGUAGAUUGAUAGAUAGAUUGUCAGAGAUACACGUAGGUAGAUAGGUAGAUACAUAGAUUGAUAGAUAAAUACAUAGACAGACAGAUAGAUAGAUAGAUAGGCAGGUAGGUAGAUAGAAAGAUAGACAGGUAAAUAGAGAUAGAUAGAAGGACGGAAGUGAAGUUAGAAGACCAAGAGCGAAACGAAUCAAAAUAUAACAGACAGACAGACAAACAAAAUAAAAAUCACGGAAGCAAAGUUAAGAAGAAUAAGGAAAAAAGAAACAAAUAAAAAAGUUAAGGAGAUGGAUAGACAAAAUAAAAUGAAGGCGGAAGUGAAAAGUUAACGAAGAAGAAAGAACGAACGAAACAAAAAAAGAAGUAAGAUAGAUAGACUGACAAAAAAAAGACGGAAAUAAAAAGUUACCGUAGAAGAAUGAAAGAACGAAACUAAUAAAAAAAAAAAGAGAUAGAUACGGACAAAAUAAAAAGUAAAAAAAAAAAAAACGGAAGCAUAAAAGUUAACGGACGAGAGACAGAAUGAAAAAAAGAAAAAGAAAAUGUAAGAGAUGGAAAUAGAUAGGCAGACAAAAUAAAAAAGUAAACAAACAAAACAAGGAAAAAGUUAACGUAGGAGAAAGAAAGAAGUAAACAAAAAAAAGUAAAAGAACGAAUUAGAGAGACAGACAAAAUAAAUAAAGAUGGAAGCAAAAAAA